GGAAUUUCCUUCUGCACUGCCACCAAGUCAGUCACCUGGAAGCAAAAAGGCACUCGUGUUCUGCCUUGUUACCACCCUGGCCAUACCCCUGAAUAUCUGCAGUACGGCACCAGUUUUGCUGAGGAGAUGGCAGUGAGGAGGAUUUGAGGCUGCAAGACCUUGGGAGUUGGAGAUGCUCAAGAGCAUCCAUGGAGCAGCAGGGUAAGCCCUGGUGCCUCUGUGCAGAUCCCUCUGCCUUGGCUGGGGCAGCGAUGCCGAUGAUACCUUUGCCGGCAGCCUGCAGGACUCCUUUCUCAGUAUCUACCUGGAGUGAGCCUCCUGGAGGUUUCCUCCAAUGAAAGCAUCUCUGUACUGCAGAUUUAUUCUAGAAAGAAGCAGGAAUCAGUCAUGGAGCUGUUCUGCAUGCUGUGAAUACCAAGGGACAGCAACGAGCUGGUUGGUCCUGAGCUGCUGGUUGCUCCAGGUGGAGAUGGCAUUUGGGGCUUGGAAGACACUUCAAAGGAUGCUUUGAAUGCUCGUCUCUGCUGUGUAGAAACAGGUGGAGGAAAGGAAGCAUCUGUCUCUCCAUCACUGUGAAGAACUUGGGGAAGACCCCCAUCAUCUGCUAUCAGCCUGUUGUUAUGAUGGAGCGCGCUUAAGCACUCCGCAGAUUAGCAGGUCUGGUGUGAAGGCACCGGCUCAUUCGCACCGCUGCGCCGGGUGACACCCGCUCGCUGCCGGCACGGACCCGACGUGCGGGUCCCGCUUCGGGGGCCGCGGCCGGGGGGAAGCGGCGGCGCUUCAGAUCGGUGCUGCUCGU
Molecule: long non-coding RNA, 799 nt
Organism: Pezoporus flaviventris
Lineage: Eukaryota; Metazoa; Chordata; Aves; Psittaciformes; Psittacidae
Exons: 6
Source: RefSeq, a predicted model, not a curated record